Molecule: ribosomal RNA, 1457 nt
Filed under: uncultured bacterium
Lineage: Bacteria
Description: partial 16S ribosomal RNA
Rfam family: Bacterial small subunit ribosomal RNA
Source: RNAcentral
AGAGUUUGAUCCUGGCUCAGGACGAACGCUGGCGGCGUGCCUAACACAUGCAAGUCGAACGGAGUUAUCUCAUUCUGAGAGAUAACCUUAGUAGGCAGAACGGGGUGUAGUAAUCGCGUUGACGAAACCGUGCCAUUUCAGUCGGGGGACAACAGGUUGGAAACGACUGCUAAUACCGCAUGAUACUUUCGUGGGGGCAUCCCUGAGAAAGUCAAAGCUUUAUGUGCUGAAAGAUGGUCUCGCGUCUGAUUAGCUAGUUGGUGGGGUAACGGCCCACCAAGGCGACGAUCAGUACCCGGUCUGAAAGGAUGAACGGCCACAUUGGGACUGAAAUACGGCCCAGACUCCUACGGGAGGCACCAGUGGGGAAUAUUGGGCAAUGGGGGAAACCCUGACCCAGCAACGCCGCGUGAAGGAAGAAGGCCUUCGGGUUGUAAACUUCUUUUACCAGGGACGAAGGACGUGACGGUACCUGGAGAAAAAGCGACGGCUAACUACGUGCCAGCAGCCGCGGUAAUACGUACGUUGCAAGCGUUGUCCGGAUUUACUGGGUGUAAAGGGCGUGUAGGCGGAGCUGCAAGUCAGAUGUGAAAUCCCGGUGCUCAAUCCCGGAACUGCAUUUGAAACUGUAGCCCUUGAGUAUCGGAGAGGCAAGCGGGAUUCCUAGUGUAGCGGUGAAAUGCGUAGAUAUUAUGAGGAACACCAAUGGUCGAAGCGGCUUGCUGGACGACAACUGACGCUGAGGCGCGAAAGCGUGGGGAGCAAACAGGAUUAGAUACCCUGAUGGUCCACGGUGUAAAUGACGGAUACUAGGUGUGGGACGAGGGACCCACUCCGUACUCGCAGUUAACACUAUAAGUACUCCACAUGGCGAGUAUGCCCGACAAGGCUGACAAUCCAAAGGAUUUGACGGGGCGCCGCAAAGUCAGUGGAUUACGUGUUUUUAUUAGACACCAUGAGAACAACCUUACCUGGAUAUAACAUUCUACUAACGAAGCACGAGAUGCAUUAGAUGCCGUUCGGGGGAUCAGAGACAGAGGGGAUGCUAAUUUCAGAUCGUUCGUGAGUAUAGUGUAAGUCCCAUAACGAGCCCAACCCGUAUUGUUACCUGUACGAAAGAGCACUGUAGCGAGCCUGCCGGGCACUAACCGGAGGAAGUAGGGGAUGAGAUCAGAUCAUCAUGCCCCUUAUAUCAUGGGUUACACACGUAAUACAAUGCUGAUAAACAGUGAGAAGCGUAAUCCCAGUGGUGGACCAAAUCCGUCCAACCCAUAUCAGCUGGGAUUGCAGGCUGCAAUUAGCCUGCAUGAAGUUGGAAUUGUUAGUAAUCGCGGAUCAGCAUGACUCGCAGGAUAUGUUCACGGGCCCAGUACACAUCGCCAGUCAAGGUCGAAUUCUGUAUGGACGAUAACAGGACUAGGCCAAUUUAAUGAGCGCUUAUUCUGGUUGUCAUCUGG